GCCGCCGAUCGCCCGGCGGAACGCCGCCGCCAUCGCCGGCGGCAGCGGCUUGCCGGUCGGGUGGCUCGGUGCCACCAGCGGCAC
This 84-nucleotide transfer RNA is filed under the name Mycolicibacterium fallax. RNAcentral describes it as "tRNA-Asp". Lineage: Bacteria; Bacillati; Actinomycetota; Actinomycetes; Mycobacteriales; Mycobacteriaceae. The record is from RNAcentral.